This is a long non-coding RNA of Passer domesticus (house sparrow), 1419 nucleotides long. RefSeq lists it as uncharacterized. Lineage: Eukaryota; Metazoa; Chordata; Aves; Passeriformes; Passeridae. The record is from RefSeq and is a predicted model, not a curated record. The transcript is spliced from 3 exons.
GCUCCUGCGGCUCAGGCAUGGCAGCUGUUUGGAAACAGGGGAGCCCUGACCCUGCCCUGAAAGCCAAGACAUUUUCUGAAACCUAUCCCCAUGUUUAACACGCAUGACAUCCUGAAGAUGCCGGCACCCAAAUCAGGAAGUCUUCCAUCUAAUCCAACUGUCCUUUUUCCUGUCUGAAGUGAUGGGCCAAACAUCUGUGCAGAAGGAGGCACAUCCUGGAGGAAGCAUUUCCCCAUGGGUAGCCCCUGCUGCAGGAAGGAAGGCGAUGCCAGACAUGGGCACAGGCACAGCAGAUGCAGCCAGCACCACAACACGUCUUCCCCAUGCCCAGGAAGGCCUCGGAAGUGUCUUCUAUAUGGGAACAGGCUGCUGGGCAGGGUUAAUGGCAGCCCUGCUUCUGUUGGACCUUACUCUCAUAUUGUUCUGUGUCAGAAUCUGGUGUAACUGGAAGAAGAAAUGGAGCACCUCUGGACAGGAGUUUAAAGACGGUGGCUGCACCUCACUCCCAGACAGUUUGAGCUGCUCCUCUGGCCGUCAUAAGGGCCUGGACAGCCCUCUCACCUGUUCUGUGAAGGGAACCCAAGAACAGCCAUCUACAAGGAAACCUCCUACUACCCUGUAGAUCCCACUGCCACCUGCUCUCCCCAUGGGUCUCCCCAAGAUGACUUCAUCCCUUUUUUGAUCUCCCUGCAUCCCAUCCCAGCCAAUUCUCAAGUUCUUCUGGAGACCCCAGGCCCAGCUGAGCACACUCCAGUCCCUCCUGAGACCAACACAUCCCUUCCUCUGCCCCUCAGCUCCCUGGCCUUGCCCUCUAAACAACACUGGAGUUAAGCCCUGCUGCCCCGCCAGGGUAGGCGAUGGCCCCUUCUUCUCUUGCACUACAGAGAUGGAGCUGUCACCCCAGUGUCUGGAGGUAGCAGCAGCAAAGCCCACCCGGCAGCAGCACUGGCUGAGCUCCGUGCCCAGGGGCAGCUGGGAAUGGCCAUGGUGUGGGCAGGCAGGAGCCAGGCAGGGGCUGCUGUGCCCAGCGGCGGGGCCCCGAGGGGAUGGGGGAGCCCGGGGGCAGGCAGCAGCAUGGGGCUCCUGAGAACAAGUGACACUAUUUUUCUUUGUUUUUCAUUUUUAGAAAUUUGACUUUUGAAAAAAUAUUUUAAAAUUUAUUUACUGUAGAGAGACAUCCCUAAAUAUUUAUUCCCGAGUAGUGUAGUAGUUAAGGACUUUACAAAAUAGUAUUAAAAUCCUGAAAAGGCAAACCUAUUUUUUCUUCACUUUUAAUUUUUAGAAAUAUUUAGAAAUAUUUUUUGUAGAGACAUAUCACCAAAAUAUUCAUCCCUUUUUCCAGAAUACAUUUGUAUUUUUAAAGUAGUUUUACAGUUCUGGAAAGUUUUUUACACUUAUACAAUAAAAAAUAAAAUGGCA